Molecule: ribosomal RNA, 117 nt
Organism: Danio rerio (zebrafish)
Lineage: Eukaryota; Metazoa; Chordata; Actinopteri; Cypriniformes; Danionidae
Source: Ensembl
AGCUACAGCCAUAUCGCCCUGCAGCCCAAGACUGGUUACUGACUAAAUCUUAGAAGGGCUGAGAUUGGUCAGUACCUGGAUGGAAGACCACAUGAGAAAACUAGGUUGCUGUUGGAA